This 433-nucleotide ribosomal RNA is filed under the name uncultured bacterium. RNAcentral's name for it is "partial 16S ribosomal RNA". It matches the Rfam family "Bacterial small subunit ribosomal RNA", at positions 29 to 507 of the family's 1533-position model. The record is from RNAcentral.
AACGAACGCUGGCGGCAGGCCUAACACAUGCAAGUCGAGCGGACCUUUCGGGGUCAGCGGCGGACGGGUGAGUAACGCGUGGGAAUAUGCCCUUCUCUACGGAAUAGUCCUGGGAAACUUGGGGUAAUACCGUAUACGCCCUUUGGGGGAAAGAUUUAUCGGGGAAGGAUUAGCCCGCGUUGGAUUAGGUAGUUGGUGGGGUAAUGGCCUACCAAGCCGACGAUCCAUAGCUGGUUUGAGAGGAUGAUCAGCCACACUGGGACUGAGACACGGCCCAGACUCCUACGGGAGGCAGCAGUGGGGAAUCUUAGACAAUGGGGGCAACCCUGAUCGAGCCAUGCCGCGUGAGUGAUGAAGGCCUUAGGGUUGUAAAGCUCUUUCAGCUGGGAAGAUAAUGACGGUACCAGCAGAAGAAGCCCCGGCUAACUCCGUG